Molecule: ribosomal RNA, 2389 nt
Filed under: Salmonella enterica subsp. enterica serovar Enteritidis
Lineage: Bacteria; Pseudomonadati; Pseudomonadota; Gammaproteobacteria; Enterobacterales; Enterobacteriaceae
Description: bacterial LSU rRNA
Rfam family: Bacterial large subunit ribosomal RNA
Source: RNAcentral
CAGUGGGAGCACAGGUUUACCUGUGUGACUGCGUACCUUUUGUAUAAUGGGUCAGCGACUUAUAUUCUGUAGCAAGGUUAACCGAAUAGGGGAGCCGGAGGGAAACCGAGUCUUAAUUGGGCGUUAAGUUGCAGGGUAUAGACCCGAAACCCGGUGAUCUAGCCAUGGGCAGGUUGAAGGUUGGGUAACACUAACUGGAGGACCGAACCGACUAAUGUUGAAAAAUUAGCGGAUGACCUGUGGCUGGGGGUGAAAGGCCAAUCAAACCGGGAGAUAGCUGGUUCUCCCCGAAAGCUAUUUAGGUAGCGCCUCGUGAAUUCAUCUCCGGGGGUAGAGCACUGUUUCGGCUAGGGGGCCAUCCCGGCUUACCAACCCGAUGCAAACUGCGAAUACCGGAGAAUGUUAUCACGGGAGACACACGGCGGGUGCUAACGUCCGUCGUGAAGAGGGAAACAACCCAGACCGCCAGCUAAGGUCCCAAAGUCAUGGUUAAGUGGGAAACGAUGUGGGAAGGCCCAGACAGCCAGGAUGUUGGCUUAGAAGCAGCCAUCAUUUAAAGAAAGCGUAAUAGCUCACUGGUCGAGUCGGCCUGCGCGGAAGAUGUAACGGGGCUAAACCAUGCACCGAAGCUGCGGCAGCGACACUGUGUGUUGUUGGGUAGGGGAGCGUUCUGUAAGCCUGCGAAGGUGGCCUGUGAGGGUUGCUGGAGGUAUCAGAAGUGCGAAUGCUGACAUAAGUAACGAUAAAGCGGGUGAAAAGCCCGCUCGCCGGAAGACCAAGGGUUCCUGUCCAACGUUAAUCGGGGCAGGGUGAGUCGACCCCUAAGGCGAGGCCGAAAGGCGUAGUCGAUGGGAAACGGGUUAAUAUUCCCGUACUUGGUGUUACUGCGAAGGGGGGACGGAGAAGGCUAUGUUGGCCGGGCGACGGUUGUCCCGGUUUAAGCGUGUAGGUGUGUGUUCCAGGUAAAUCCGGUUCACUUUAACACUGAGGCGUGACGACGAGGCACUACGGUGCUGAAGCAACAAAUGCCCUGCUUCCAGGAAAAGCCUCUAAGCAUCAGGUAACAUCAAAUCGUACCCCAAACCGACACAGGUGGUCAGGUAGAGAAUACCAAGGCGCUUGAGAGAACUCGGGUGAAGGAACUAGGCAAAAUGGUGCCGUAACUUCGGGAGAAGGCACGCUGACACGUAGGUGAAGUGAUUUACUCAUGGAGCUGAAGUCAGUCGAAGAUACCAGCUGGCUGCAACUGUUUAUUAAAAACACAGCACUGUGCAAACACGAAAGUGGACGUAUACGGUGUGACGCCUGCCCGGUGCCGGAAGGUUAAUUGAUGGGGUCAGCGCAAGCGAAGCUCCUGAUCGAAGCCCCGGUAAACGGCGGCCGUAACUAUAACGGUCCUAAGGUAGCGAAAUUCCUUGUCGGGUAAGUUCCGACCUGCACGAAUGGCGUAAUGAUGGCCAGGCUGUCUCCACCCGAGACUCAGUGAAAUUGAACUCGCUGUGAAGAUGCAGUGUACCCGCGGCAAGACGGAAAGACCCCGUGAACCUUUACUAUAGCUUGACACUGAACAUUGAGCCUUGAUGUGUAGGAUAGGUGGGAGGCUUUGAAGUGUGGACGCCAGUCUGCAUGGAGCCGACCUUGAAAUACCACCCUUUAAUGUUUGAUGUUCUAACGUGGACCCGUUACCCGGGUUGCGGACAGUGUCUGGUGGGUAGUUUGACUGGGGCGGUCUCCUCCUAAAGAGUAACGGAGGAGCACGAAGGUUGGCUAAUCCUGGUCGGACAUCAGGAGGUUAGUGCAAUGGCAUAAGCCAGCUUGACUGCGAGCGUGACGGCGCGAGCAGGUGCGAAAGCAGGUCAUAGUGAUCCGGUGGUUCUGAAUGGAAGGGCCAUCGCUCAACGGAUAAAAGGUACUCCGGGGAUAACAGGCUGAUACCGCCCAAGAGUUCAUAUCGACGGCGGUGUUUGGCACCUCGAUGUCGGCUCAUCACAUCCUGGGGCUGAAGUAGGUCCCAAGGGUAUGGCUGUUCGCCAUUUAAAGUGGUACGCGAGCUGGGUUUAGAACGUCGUGAGACAGUUCGGUCCCUAUCUGCCGUGGGCGCUGGAGAACUGAGGGGGGCUGCUCCUAGUACGAGAGGACCGGAGUGGACGCAUCACUGGUGUUCGGGUUGUCAUGCCAAUGGCACUGCCCGGUAGCUAAAUGCGGAAGAGAUAAGUGCUGAAAGCAUCUAAGCACGAAACUUGCCCCGAGAUGAGUUCUCCCUGAGACUUAGAGUCUCCUGAAGGAACGUUGAAGACGACGACGUUGAUAGGCCGGGUGUGUAAGCGCAGCGAUGCGUUGAGCUAACCGGUACUAAUGAACCGUGAGGCUUAACCUUACAACGCCGAAG